GGGGGGAGCAAGCGUUGUUCGGAUUUACUGGGCGUAAAGGGCGCGUAGGCGGCCACUGCAAGUCAAUUGUGAAAUCUCCGGGCUUAACUCGGAAAGGUCAACUGAUACUGCAGGGCUAGAGUGCGGAAGGGGCAACUGGAAUUCUCGGUGUAGCGGUGAAAUGCGUAGAUAUCGAGAGGAACACCUGCGGCGAAGGCGGGUUGCUGGGCCGACACUGACGCUGAAGCGCGAAAGCUAGGGGAGCGAACGGGAUUAGAUACCCCGGUAGUCCUAGCCUUAAACGAUGAAUGCUUGGUGUCUGGGGUUUUAUAGUCCCCGGGUGCCGUCGCUAACGCUUUAAGCAUUCCGCCUGGGGAGUACGGUCGCAAGACUG
RNAcentral lists this ribosomal RNA (373 nucleotides) under uncultured bacterium. Its description in RNAcentral is "bacterial SSU rRNA". It matches the Rfam family "Bacterial small subunit ribosomal RNA", at positions 527 to 896 of the family's 1533-position model. The record is from RNAcentral.